CGCGGGGUGGAGCAGUCUGGUAGCUCGUUGGGCUCAUAACCCAGAGGUCGCAGGUUCAAAUCCUGUCCCCGCAACCA
This 77-nucleotide transfer RNA is filed under the name Ralstonia pickettii. Its description in RNAcentral is "tRNA-Met". It matches the Rfam family "tRNA". Rfam says of the family: Transfer RNA (tRNA) molecules are approximately 80 nucleotides in length. Their secondary structure includes four short double-helical elements and three loops (D, anti-codon, and T loops). Further hydrogen bonds mediate the characteristic L-shaped molecular structure. tRNAs have two regions of fundamental functional importance: the anti-codon, which is responsible for specific mRNA codon recognition, and the 3' end, to which the tRNAs corresponding amino acid is attached (by aminoacyl-tRNA synthetases). tRNAs cope with the degeneracy of the genetic code in two manners: having more than one tRNA (with a specific anti-codon) for a particular amino acid; and 'wobble' base-pairing, i.e. permitting non-standard base-pairing at the 3rd anti-codon position. Lineage: Bacteria; Pseudomonadati; Pseudomonadota; Betaproteobacteria; Burkholderiales; Burkholderiaceae. RNAcentral also lists the same sequence under 1 other name. The record is from RNAcentral.